AUAUCCUUUAGGGGAUGUCACGGCUUUGGUUAAGUUUUCCUUUUUACUCCUUAGCUGCUAGCGCAGUUUUAAUGAUAGCUGUUUCACAUGUGCAUGCGGCACUCAUGUGGGCAGAGCUGUCAGAAGACUGUAAAGUCUCAACCAUCCUGCGAUUGCUUGCACCUGAGGAAGACGGAAUGACGAUGUUCUGCGCCAUGGUAUUCCUUUGCUCAUUCAUACACUGAUUUAUGGCUCGUUGUUUUCCUUUGGCUCAAGGUGACAUCAGUACCUACAAAAAGGCAAAUAUACGUGAGAAUGCUUUUAUAGCAAAAUCCUUGUUUGCAAAGGUAAUGAUGUUCUAAAACUGGAAA
This 350-nucleotide long non-coding RNA is filed under the name Homo sapiens (human). RNAcentral's name for it is "non-protein coding LINC00908:14". Lineage: Eukaryota; Metazoa; Chordata; Mammalia; Primates; Hominidae. The record is from RNAcentral.